UUUAGGAAGUAAUGAAAGCAGCAGACUCAUGAUUUUUGAGCUUUUAAUUACUUAUUAAGUGGCAUGACAUAAAGGCUACGGGGGAGAUUUUUUUUUUCAGCAUCCAACUUAUUGGCUUUGAAGUCGGUGCCUAAAUACCCUUUGUGCCUUUGAAACUUUCCGUCUGCUCACAGGGGAACGUGCUGCUGCUCUGGGCUUUGUUUCACGCUGACCACAUUUGUUCGGGGGAGAGGAGCCCAGGGAUGGGAGCCUGCUCAGACACAGGUCCAAUAAAGAGCAGAGGUGAAUGCUGUCUAAAAAAAUAAAAAGGAAUGACUCCUUCACUCCUGGGGAACUUUUCCAGCUGCAGUUGUCUCCUGAGGGCUGCCGUGGUCACCUUCAACAGCAGGAAUGAUCCUCGAGCUCUUCACACUGCCCAAGGCUGGCACGAGCUGCACGUUGGGUUUUGUUGUCCAUCAUGCAGCCACAAUGAGCAUGCAGAGCUCACAGCCACACAGAGCCAGGUUUAAGCGGAGUUGCCCUUAUCUGACAUCCAUUGAUUUAGGCCUUUAAUCUGGGAAGGAAUGUGCUGCAGGUCACAGGAAGCUACUGGAUAGUUCCACAAUCCUCAUCGUGUCCCAGUCUUGCAGCGUAAACCUCUCAGGCAUGUUUUUCACCAAUGCAGAUAUUUGUGGAAACCAGUCCCUCAACUCAGUCUCCUUACACCCUCUGACCCCUGAAACCUGGCAUCUUUUUUGGAAAAAGCAAGGAUUUAAAUGCUAACAGCUGGAGGGCAGAAAGCAGAGCCCAUCCCUACUCUGCUGGCACUGCUGGAAUCACGGAGUGAGAAGGAUGAGAUGGGGAAACCCAAGGUAAACAGGCUCAUAUUAGUGCUGGUAUCCCAAGCCAGCAGUGGCUCUGCUCCCACAUGAGAGUAACCCUCCCUGAGCUGGGGAGCUGGACUGCUUGUGGAGCUACAACAAAGGAUUCAGACGUGUUUCCUCUUGGAACAGGAUGAAGCGAACCGUCUGCAACCCCAUCCAGUGGGCAGGUUGUCAUCCCCCCUCUCCCUGCCUCCCUCCAGAGAAGCAGCUCUGCUUCUCAUCCACAUCCACCCUCCCCUUUGAAAGCCAAGCUUCCUGCUCUGGGCUAUUUCUGAUCUCCAGAGCCAGGCUGCCAAGUGCCCAAGGAUGAUCUGGCCAAGGGGGGCUGGUGGGGCAGGGCAGGGACCUGAGGUGCUGGGGGGCCAUUGAAACAACUUUCCUCAUCGAAACAAGGCAAGAUCACAGAAUCAUAGAAUGGUUUGGGUAGGAGGGGACUUUAAAGAUCAUCUACUUCCAGCUCUCAAGACACUUUCCUGGUCAUCUGUGUCCAAGCAGACAAAGUUCUCUCACCCCCGUCCCAAGGCAAAGAAGGAGUUGCCAUAUUUUGGCCCUCAUUUUCAGAUGUUCUGGUGUUUCUACAUGUGCAUUUAUUCCCUCCUAUUCACACGGAUGUAUAACCAGGCAGCAGCUGUAAUGUAAUACCAGAGUCCUGUAUAUAACUCUGAAAACACCACUGGAGCAGCCCUAUUAUCGUGAGACCAAUCUGAGCAGGAAAUAUUAUCAUUACCAGGGGGCAUUAUUUUUUCCAAUCACACUUCAUAUCAGUUGUCAUCAAACCCUGUGUUUUAUAUAGUGUUACAAUAGCCACAGUUGCCAUGAAUUGUCUCUGGAUGGACUGUAAGUAUUAAAAACAAAAUAAGAAGCAUAUGUUGGAAUGUCUGAAACUAGCAGACAAAACUCCAGGCUUUGACAACGUUACGGGUUUUUUGGAAGGAGCCAGAUUUUAGCAAUAACAUUCCACUUUUGUGAGUCUACCCACCAGCAUCUAACCUGCCCUAUAACAUCUCACUCGAGUUUACAAUUUCCUUCACCUCCUGUUCCUCUCUAAUGUAAACUCUCUGGCUUUUCUCGAGCGUGUGGCUUGGAAGAGGAAUAGCUCCAGCCUCCCAGGUGCCAACUGGAAAUCUUCCUUCGCAGUGGACGAGCAAGAAAAAAUGCACAAUCUAAGGAAAGUGCUCAUCCACAGCUCACUUUUUCCCCUCCCUGCUCCUGUUCUAGCUGUAGCAAAAUGUCAAAGGCAUGAUGCACACAUUCCUUUGAAGCCAUUCCAUCGCCUGAUGAUCCAUUUUGCUUAUGAAAGGAAUGUACGCUGGGUGCUGGGAUUUUUGUUGGAAGGCCUCAGCAGCCGUGGAAUAACUGCAAGGAACACUGCCAGGUUUCCCCCCCUUCCCUACACAUUCCAAAACAUCCAUCCAGCGAGCAAUAAAUAGCAAAAAAAUAUUAAUUACCCAAAGGAAGAAUUCUCUCCUGAACAAAUAUUGGCUUUGUGACAAGAAGGAGCUUGUGAAAUGUGUGUUUGCCUACCAAGCCCACUCAGUCUAUUUCUGAUUCCCAAAGAACAUAAUGACCUGUGUGCCAGAUUUUAUUUGGGCUUUUUUUUUUUUUUCUUUUUUUUUCUUUUUUUUUUGCAUGGCCAGCAAGAACUGUAACAAACAUUCAGGAGGGAAAACACUCCAUUGUUGCUUUUGGUCUUAUGGUGGGUUUUGUUCUCUGCUUUUAACUGUGCUUCACUUCUGGAGCUGCACAGAAAAAAAAAAAAAAACCAACCCUGUUAUUAUUUUUUAACUUAUUCACCAGUUCUCUCAGCCUUCCCUGAAUACAUUUACUGCUUAAAAGUGUUCAGUAAAUGAGCUUGAGAGAAAUCAGUUUUGAGCUAUUAUAUACCACACACAAAAACAGAAGCACAUGCACACUUAUAUAUAUAU
Long non-coding RNA from Passer domesticus (house sparrow), 2788 nucleotides. RefSeq lists it as uncharacterized. The record is from RefSeq and is a predicted model, not a curated record. NCBI's taxonomy places the organism in Eukaryota, Metazoa, Chordata, Aves, Passeriformes, Passeridae. The transcript is spliced from 3 exons.